GUUUGUGUUUUAAGACAUUCGAUAAAAUUGGAACGAUACAGAAAAGAUUAGCAUGAUUCCAGCACAAGAAUGAUACACACAAAUCGAGAAAUGAUCCAAAUUUUU
RNAcentral lists this small nuclear RNA (105 nucleotides) under Nelumbo nucifera (sacred lotus). Lineage: Eukaryota; Viridiplantae; Streptophyta; Magnoliopsida; Proteales; Nelumbonaceae. The record is from RNAcentral.